RNAcentral lists this small RNA (2917 nucleotides) under Arabidopsis thaliana (thale cress). Its description in RNAcentral is "ATSL098280". The record is from RNAcentral. Lineage: Eukaryota; Viridiplantae; Streptophyta; Magnoliopsida; Brassicales; Brassicaceae.
AUAUGAUCAUAAUAUAUUUAUUUAAAUUAGUAAUGCAAGGCAUUUUAUUUACUAUAAAAAAAACUUUUAUUACAACUAUUAGAUUUAUUAAUCCAUUUUUUAUAAAUAUUUAAAAUCUAAAACUUACAGCAAUAAUUUUACAGUUACAGUCCAACCAAUCACCCACUAGAUUGUAAUAGUCAAAGUUUCUACAAGGAAAGUCUUUACAGCCAAAUUCUAUGCAUCUCAAAUUUUUAAAGUCAAAGCAUAUAAAGACAAAAUUAACACUCGCUACCAAUCAGCCCCUACGUUUGACAAAAUUGAGUUUUUAAAGAUGUUGUCGCUAUGUUUUUCCUUUGCCAUACCUCCUUUUUUUCACUCUUUGACAUCUUACAUUGCAUAAUUUUAUUGGUCAGGUGAAUAUUAAUCUAUAAUAUAAAAGAUUUUUUUUGUAAAAACCGAGAAAACAUUUUUAAUAUCUAGCAGCACUUUGGUUUCUAACAUUAUUUGUUGGAUAUUAUGCGAGUUUAAAUUGUGUGUAUUAAUUACCAAUAGAAUGUAUUUUUAGUUUAAAAUAGUUUCUUAUACGAUUACUAAUAUCGUCAUAAUCUAGGUUCCAAUCAAUUUGCCUCACUAGUUCCUUCGGAUGGAGAAGAAGAUUUGUCAGAUUCAGACAACGAAUCUGAUUCAAUGGAUUUUAUGUCGCCUUGGGGUAAAAGAAUCCUCCGAAAGAGACAGGUUAAACAACCAACAAAGGCUAACAAAAUGGAUGAACAAACCACACGUCGUGGGAGGGGAAGAGGCUGUGGGAAACGAGGUGGUCAUGGCUAAUGGUCUCCAACAACCUAAACACUAAGUCAAUUGAAGCAAAAAAUUGGAUUGUAACCUGCAUUUAAUGUACCCUUUCUUUCUACUACUUGUAACUUUUUAUAAACUGUAUGACCUCGUGUGCCUAUAUCGAUUUUGAUUUUCUUAAGUAAAAAAAGUAAUAUUGUCGUAAUUUUUUUUAUAUUGGUCUCUUAUACUGUUUCUAAUUAUUUAGAUAUCAUAUCAUCAUUAUUUGUUUCCACUAAGAUUAUCAGGGUCGGCCCAGACCUAAAGCCCAAGAAGCAGAUGCUUUAGGCAGCAAAUUUUAUAUGUAUAUUAAAGGACAUCAAAUUCUUAGAAAUAUCUUGUAGUCUAGUGGUGUUAGGUGUAUCUGAGGGUAUUUGGUUAGGCCUGGGUGUUCGGCUAAACCGGGUUGUUCGGAUCGGUUUGUUCAGUUUGGAGAAAAUUUGGGUUUUUAAAAAUUUCACCGAAUAGACCCGAAUUAAAAUUCGGUUCGGGUCAGUUCGGUAGUCGAUUUGUUUGGGUCGGUUAUUAGCUAGAAUUAACGUUCCAAAUUUGAACCAUACAAAAAUUUAUCCGGUUUAUUCGGUUUUUUAUUUCGGUUUACAUAAUUAAAAAUGAAAAUUUACAGUUUACAAAUCCAAACCUAAUCAAAUUAACCAUUACAAAUAAAUAAAAGCCCAACAUACAAAGGAAAUUAUGAAAAGCCCAACAAACAAAGACAAUUAUCAAAACCCUAACUUAUAAAGGUAAUUAUAAAAAGCGCAAAACACAAUUAUUAGCCCAACCCAAUAAAAUAUUAGGGUUUUGACAGUAAUGUGAGCAGCCCCUUCACGGUUGCGACUCCAGGUGUAACGGUGAUGGUAACAACGACGACAAUCUCCGAUGAUCUUAUUCCAUCUUUAAACAAGGUUGUGUUGUGUUGGAUCCCAAAACCCUUCAAAUUUUAGAAAUCGAAAUUGCAAUUAAAUUUAAUGUUUUGUAUCCAAUUUAUCAUCUAGAUAUUAGCGAUUCGGAAGAAGAAUUAGAAGCAGUAUCAACGAAGAAGAUCGAAAGAGCUUACCUUUACGAUUUCUUCGGUUGAACUUCUGUGAAAAAGAAAAGGGGUUGAAAAUGAGGAGCGUACGGAGAUGAAGUGAUGAAGUAGAAGAGAAGAGAAGAGAUGUUUGGGUAAGAAGAUCUUAUUAAAUUAGAUACAAAGUCGAAGAAGAACAAAGAAGUGACCUCUUUGAUUUCCUUGGUUGCAGCUUGAAUUUCUUAAAUGACGAGGGUAAGAAGAUGUAGAAGUGUUGAUCACGAUGAAAUGAUGAAGGAGAAGAGAUGAGAUGAUGUCUAGAUGACUAGAUCAGAGAUGAGAUGAAAGAUUAUUCUCUAUAAAUUGCAUGAGGCGGAGGCUAAGAGAAAGAGAAAUGAAAUUAGGGUUGGUUAGACUUAUAUAGGGCAGCUUAAUAGGCUGCUAAACCGAAUUAACCCGAUCGGUUCGAUUACCGAACUGACCCAAACCAACAUCCGAUUGCCAAAAUUAAUUUUGUCGUUCGGUUUCGGGUUACUCGGUUUAUGCCGAACUCCCAGGGCUAUAUAUGGUUGUUGGUUUGAACCUUGGCAACUGAAAAUAUUAACAAUUUUUCUAUUUUUAUAUGUACUAAAUGGGCAUCAAAAUUUUGUUGGACUUAAGGCAUGAUUAGUGUUUGGGUCGGCCCUGAAGAUUACCAACACGAAAUAAAAUUUAGUUGGCAUAGAUCCAACGUGAAUAUAUUUUGUUACGAAGUCUAACAACAAAAUUGGAAUUAUUUUCGGUUUAGAAAAACAUCAACACUUUUUUGUUUACGACUUACUAAAAUUAGGAUUAAAUUGUCAAAAUAGGCAAAAGUAAUUCGCAAAACUGUCAUACUAAAUAAAUGAGGGCGUUUUCAUAAAACUAAAAAAGUAGAAGGUUUCUCUUGGGAAGUUUUCAAUUUUCCAUAGCAGGUCUAAACAUGCUCAUUAGCGAUUCUUUCUUAUAUAUUAAAGCAGAUGUUUAAAGUGCUCACGUUCGCUCUCAGAAUAUGAGCGGACGUUUUUACCCCCUUUAAUGAAAUUACCUAAUUUAAUUCUUUUAAAUUUUUUACUU